This 461-nucleotide ribosomal RNA is filed under the name uncultured bacterium. RNAcentral's name for it is "partial 16S ribosomal RNA". It matches the Rfam family "Bacterial small subunit ribosomal RNA", at positions 339 to 795 of the family's 1533-position model. The record is from RNAcentral.
CUACGGGGUGCUGCAGUCGAGAAUCUUCCGCAAUGGACGAAAGUCUGACGGAGCGACGCCGCGUGCGGGAUGAAGGCCUUCGGGUUGUAAACCGCUGUCAGUGGGGAGGAAAUGCAUCAGGGUUCUCCCUGGUGUUUGACCGAUCCGCAGAGGAAGCGCAGGCUAAGUUCGUGCCAGCAGCCGCGGUAACACGAACUGCGCGAACGUUAUUCGGAAUCACUGGGCUUAAAGAGUUCGUAGGCGACCUUUCAAGUCGGGUGUGAAAUCCCUCGGCUCAACCGAGGAAUUGCGCCUGAUACUGUUGGGCUUGAGGGGGAUAGGGGUGAGCGGAACUGAUGGUGGAGCGGUGAGAUGCGUUGAUAUCAUCAGGAACACCGGUGGCGAAGGCGGCUCACUGGAUCUCUUCUGACGCUGAGGAACGAAAGCUAGGGGAGCGAACGGGAUUAGAUACCCCCGUAGUC